RNAcentral lists this ribosomal RNA (497 nucleotides) under uncultured bacterium. Its description in RNAcentral is "partial 16S ribosomal RNA". It matches the Rfam family "Bacterial small subunit ribosomal RNA", at positions 28 to 507 of the family's 1533-position model. The record is from RNAcentral.
GAUGAACGCUGGCGGCGUGCCUAAUACAUGCAAGUCGAGCGAACAGACGAGGAGCUUGCUCCUCUGACGUUAGCGGCGGACGGGUGAGUAACACGUGGAUAACCUACCUAUAAGACUGGGAUAACUUCGGGAAACCGGAGCUAAUACCGGAUAACAUGUUGAACCGCAUGGUUCAACAGUGAAAGACGGUCUUGCUGUCACUUAUAGAUGGAUCCGCGCCGCAUUAGCUAGUUGGUAAGGUAACGGCUUACCAAGGCAACGAUGCGUAGCCGACCUGAGAGGGUGAACGGCCACACUGGAACUGAGACACGGUCCAGACUCCUACGGGAGGCAACAGUUGGGAAUCUUCCGCAAUGGACGAAAGCCUGACGGAGCAACGCCGCGUGGGUGAUGAAGGUCUUCGGAUCGUAAAACUCUGUUAUUAGGGAAGAACAAAUGUGUAAGUAACUAUGCACGUCUUGACGGUACCUAAUCAGAAAGCCACGGCUAACUACGUG